AUAGUAUUCUCUCCGUCCGAAAAUACUUGUCAUCAAAAUGGACAAAAUGGGAUGUAUCUAGAACUAAAAUACAUCUAGAUACAUCUCCUUUGAUCCAUUUUAAUGACAAGUAUUUUCGAAUGGAGGGAAUAAGUC
Non-coding RNA from Triticum aestivum (bread wheat), 135 nucleotides. The record is from Rfam. Lineage: Eukaryota; Viridiplantae; Streptophyta; Magnoliopsida; Poales; Poaceae.